Molecule: long non-coding RNA, 389 nt
Filed under: Lepisosteus oculatus (spotted gar)
Lineage: Eukaryota; Metazoa; Chordata; Actinopteri; Semionotiformes; Lepisosteidae
Description: lncRNA (ENSLOCG00000023038.1)
Source: RNAcentral
UCUCAAGCUCCAGUGUAAGACGUAGGGCCUGUCUCUGUCUCUCUCUGUGUCUCAAGUACCAGUUCAACAAGUAGGGCCCGUCUCUCUGUGUCUCUCUGUGUAGCACCAGUGCAGCAAGUACAGCCUGUCUCUCUCUCUCUCUGUGUCUCUGUCUCUCUCUGUGUCUCAAGCACCAGUGCAAGACGGUACUGUUGAGGGUGCGGAUGCUGUACUACCUCAGACAGGAGGUGAUUGGGGACCAGGCUGACAGGGUCCUGAGAGGGGCAGACGCCAGGUAACCCCCCUCUAUCUCUGUGCAGUGUUGAUGUACUGGAGUGUCCAGUCAGUCAGUGUGUCUGUAUGAACCCCUCUCUCUCAGUGCAGUGUUAAUGGACUGGAGUGUCCAGUCA